ACCGCCGAGUGGCCGGAGCGCGGGGCGGGGCCGAGGCGGCGAGUGUCUGGGCGAGCGUGGCUGGGCCCGGUCCUGGGCUGGGGGCAGGGGCUAGGGCCGGGUCCCGGGACAUGGCCGCUUACCAACAAGAAGGGCAGAUGCAGCUUCCCCGAGCUGAUGCCAUUCGUUCACGUCUCAUCGAUACUUUCUCUCUCAUCGAGCAUUUGCAAGGCUUGAGCCAAGCUGUGCUGCGACACACUAUCAGGAGUUACUUGAUCCUUCCCGCCAGAAGAAACUUAUGUUGGGAGAUCAACACCAGCUAGUGGGCGUCUCUAUAAAGCCUCAACGUAUAGAACAGAUUUCACAUGCCCAGAGGCUGUUGAGCAGGCUUCAUGUGCGCUGCAGUCAGAGGCCACCUCUUUCUUUGUGGGCCGGAUGGGUCCUUGAGUAAUUGCUGGAAUCCACAAAUACCAAACUAUGGCCAUUGAAGCUGACCUUGGAGGGGGCAGCUUGGUUUAUCUUGCUUAUUUUCAUCCUGGAGAUCCUUCUUAAGUGGCUAUCCAACUUUUCUGUUUUCUGGAAGAGUGCCUGGAAUGUCUUUGACUUUGUUGUUACCAUGUUGGUAAGGAUAGAGAUCCUGAGGGUUCGUUUAGUGGGAUGAAGAAUGUGCCUAGGUGAAUCGAAAGAACAAGUUAACAUGAUAAUAGGAAGAAACAAAAAUUUACUUAACUUCUUUCUUUUGAUUUUUUUUUCCUAAAACUAAACAUCAAUCAUUGCAGGAGUUGUUGGUAUUAGGAGCAAAGUAGACUAACUACAACAUCAAUGCCAACAAGAGCAUCUGCCGGUUACUGAGCACUUACUAAGUGCCAAGCACUAUUUUAAGUGUUUUCCUUACAUUAUCUCAUUUAUGCUCCACAACAACCUAAUUAAAUAACCAUGAAUUUUAUCCCCCUUUUUAUAUCUGAACAAGUUGAAGUAUAGUGUUUAAGCAACUUAAUAUAGAAAGGCUGAAUAG
Long non-coding RNA from Homo sapiens (human), 994 nucleotides. Ensembl annotates it as CATSPER2 pseudogene 1. Its record names the gene CATSPER2P1. Lineage: Eukaryota; Metazoa; Chordata; Mammalia; Primates; Hominidae. The record is from Ensembl.